CAUGCGGGUCUCGAACUCCAGAACCAUGAGACCACGGCCUGAACUGAAGCCGGACACUUAACCGACUAAGCCACCCAGGUGCCCCUAGUUUGAUUCUCUUUGACGAGCGUGAGAGAAGGCCUCUUGGACCAGCUUUGAGAGUUUGAAAAUUUGUUCAUUCACCAGGUAUUUGUUUAACCAACACUCUGUGCCAGGAACAGGUGCUAGAGAUACACCAGUGACCCAAACAGAUCUGAAUCUGUGCUCUCACAGGGCUUACAUUGGAGCGGGAGGGGCAGAGAAUAAAUACCAUGACUGCAUUAGGGGGAGAGUUACCCCUGAGAAGACGGUGGUUGUUACUGAAACGUACAGCAGAGAAUUGGGAUAGACCCUUCGGAGGCAGGCAGGGAGAGUGGGGAGGGUCUCACAGUGACAAGGUGGCUGGAGAAGCCCUCACAGAGGAGGCUGCAUUUGAGCAAGAUUUGCAGGAGGUGAGUGCACAGGCCCCUCGGGUGGCUGGAGGACCGUGGUCCGGGCAGAGGGCGAGAGAGCGCAGAGCCCCCUGUCAGGAGUGACCCCCGGCGGGUUUGGGACGAACAGGGGGCCUGAUGACUGUAGCCGAGGGAGGAGGCAAGAGAGUCACGGGGCACAAGAUCUGGCUGGGGGUGGGGGCGGGUCUCGCGGUCACAGCGAAAAGACGUGGGCUCUUGGUCUCUUAUUCUGAAGUGGGGACACUGGAGGGUCUUGGCAGAGGGGCGGCUGGAGCUGCCUCUGGUCUGGCAGGAUCACUCUGGCUGCUGAGUGGGUGGUAGGUUAGGGGCCGGGAGGGCAAGGGCAGCGGCGGGGAGACGGGUUAGGCUACUGGGAACACCCAGGUGAGGGGUGACGGUGGCGCGAGAAGGAUCAGUCAGUGGGUGACGGAAGGUUCGGUCUCUGACUCUCCGGGGCCGGUUCUUUCCGGGGCCGUCGAUUCGCUUGGCUCCCGAGGGGUCUGCGGUCGCAGUUGGCAUUCUCGCCACGCUUCGCUUGACACGCCAGGAGCUCGUCACACGCUGGCUGUGAGAACACAGGCGGCCUUUCAGCGUGGGCCCAACGCUCGCUGUCCCGGCUCGGCAGUGUGCUCGGCUCGCGGAAGGGCGCGCGGGCAGCUGGGGCCUCUGAAGGGUGACAUUUGUGAGUGGGAUGGCGGCAAGCAAGGCCCGGUUUGAAUAUGGCAAGGCUGUGGGUGCCCGGGGCGGAGCUGGGGCAGAGGGUGACGCGCGGUCCAGCCGCCACAGCCCGAGGAGUCCCUGAGCCCGUGAGAUGUGAGCUCCACGGUCAUCCUCACGGGCCGCCAUCGCUCAUCAACUGAGGGGAGGAUUUGUCGGGAUCACCCGUUCAUUCAGAACGUCCUUCCACGUGCCAGGAACCUGGAACCAGUUCGCACGGCAGAGGAGAGUGAAGGGUGCACAUCAGCUGACCCAGAGACCGUGGAUUCUUCUGGAUGACCUGGCGGAUCCAGUGGGAUGCAGUGAACUCUUCAAAGUGCUCAGAGUCAGCAGGAGAUGAACUCUGGUCUGCGGUCGCUGGCUCUGAAAACGGAGGAAGGGGCCACGAGCUCGGGGGGUGUGGUGGCCUCUGGAAGCUGGAGCAUCCUUCUCCUGACAGCCAGCAGGAGACCCAGACCUCCAGCCGCAAGAAACUGCAUUCUGCCAACAACCCGAAUGAGCAGGAGAGCAUCCAGAAAUGAAUGCAGUGGCCAGCACCUAGACGUUAGCCUGGUGAGACCUGCCUGGGACUGCUGACUGCCGGACUUUAAGAUAAUAAUCGUGUGUGUUUAAGCCGCUGUUUGUGUGAGUUUGUUACGGCUGCUACGAGGGCCCCUAAGCGGGGAGCGGGAGGAUCAGAGAAGUGUGCUGGGGGGAUGCCGGGUGGGAAGGGCUGUAGGUAGCCCUCUGCACCUGCCCCUGCAGUCCUGCCCUUGAGUGUGGACAGGGUAACUCCACCAGUCUUCGAGGGUGGGCUGGCCCCUCUCCGGCAACCUCUGCAGAGUGUGCUUAGUGUCAAGGGGCUGGAACGAAGCUGGGACCGCCCUCCCUGCGUCUUGUGUGCUCUUGGGUCCAAGACUUGGCUGGAGGCCCUGCCUCUUUUCCCAGAAGCUCUGAGCUGCUGCCUUGACCAACUCUUGCUUGUGUUUUUAUUUUUCUUCGUUUAUUU
Leopardus geoffroyi (Geoffroy's cat) is the source of this 2175-nucleotide long non-coding RNA. RefSeq lists it as uncharacterized. The transcript is spliced from 2 exons. NCBI's taxonomy places the organism in Eukaryota, Metazoa, Chordata, Mammalia, Carnivora, Felidae. The record is from RefSeq and is a predicted model, not a curated record.